UACGGGGGGAGCAAGCGUUGUUCGGAUUUACUGGGCGUAAAGGGCGCGUAGGCGGUCAGCACAAGUCAGUUGUGAAAUCUCCGAGCUUAACUCGGAAAGGUCAACUGAUACUGUGCGACUAGAGUGCAGAAGGGGCAACUGGAAUUCUUGGUGUAGCGGUGAAAUGCGUAGAUAUCAGGAGGAACACCGGUGGCGAAGGCGGGUCUCUGGGCCGAUACUGACGCUGAGGAGCGAAAGCGUGGGGAGCGAACAGG
Molecule: ribosomal RNA, 254 nt
Filed under: uncultured bacterium
Lineage: Bacteria
Description: partial 16S ribosomal RNA
Rfam family: Bacterial small subunit ribosomal RNA
Source: RNAcentral